Molecule: long non-coding RNA, 437 nt
Organism: Lemur catta (Ring-tailed lemur)
Lineage: Eukaryota; Metazoa; Chordata; Mammalia; Primates; Lemuridae
Exons: 3
Source: RefSeq, a predicted model, not a curated record
GCGAGCCCUUAGGGACCAGCAACCGACCCCUCCUGGGAGGUGCAGUUUACUGCGGGAAGCGGGGCCGGCGACUCGCCUAGCGCCAGACAUCCUGGGGACUGUAGCUCGCCCGGGAUCAACUGGCUGCUGUAAACUGUAGGGGGGAGCAAGCGUGGAAGUGAGAAGACCAUCAAGAGGCAGUUGCGGUUGUCCAGGAUUGGCCUCCAAUGUCUCACGAGCUUCAUAGACAAAGAGCCUGAUUUUGAAUUAAGGCUCAAGAGGAGAGUGGUGUUGGCCCCAGCCUCAUAUGUCAGUUGUUCUGUCAUCCUCCACUGUCUCAUAUCAUCUCUCUUUCUCCUACAGUAGUUGUCUUCAAACUUUUUUGCUCACAUACUCCCCAAAAGAAUUUUGAAAAAUUGUAUCUCUUUGUACAUUUUUAGGUUGACAUUAAAAUUUUU